AUGAAACUGAACAAGCAACUAAACCGAUCGUUGCUAGCAGCUUGGAGUUGGAUCCUUCCACCAUCACCAUGGACGGCAACAACCAGAUCCAUGAUCCGCUGCUUGCGACCGUGCCCAAGGAGGAGACCAUCCCGGCUGCCGUCCGGCGGGCCAGUGGAUGGGCGCUCUUCACUGCCUGCGGCACCCUCCUCUCGUUCGCCGCGGGCCACGCGGCCGCCUACGCAGUCGGCCAGUACCAAGUCUGCUCCACCCAGGUCGGACUACGUAACUACACCCGCUUGGUUGGUUUCUGGACAAUCCAAACUUUCCAUCGAUGGAUCCAUCCAUCAUAUUCAAGAUGGUUCAGUGUGGUGUUCGUCUGGAUGCACACGCCGUUCGUCCUGCGGUGCGUCCUGUGGACCGACGCGCAGGCCGCCGACGACAGCGCCCUCUGGUUCGGGAUGCUGUGCUGCGCCCUACUCCAGGCGGCUGCCGCGGCGCUGGCGCUUCACCUCCCGUGCCGCCGCCGCCGGGUCCGCCGCGCCCUCGCCUUCCUCGCACUCGUCGUCACCUUCGUCGGCCAGUGCAUGUACGCCGCCGCCGCCCGCCUCCUCCUCGCCGUCGACCCAGGAUACAUCAUCGCCAGGAUCUUCUGCACGGCGAACAUCGUCAUCUUCGCGGGGGGCGACCUCAUCUGCUUCCUGGGCCUCCUCCUGGGAGGUGACAACUGAUGAGCAGGGCGUAGGCAGCCGAUCGAUCAGUUCGCGCGUUCAUGAGGUACGGAUGAAGUCAUGA
RNAcentral lists this ribosomal RNA (774 nucleotides) under Triticum aestivum (bread wheat). Its description in RNAcentral is "partial small subunit ribosomal RNA". Lineage: Eukaryota; Viridiplantae; Streptophyta; Magnoliopsida; Poales; Poaceae. The record is from RNAcentral.